Molecule: transfer RNA, 71 nt
Filed under: Dasypus novemcinctus (nine-banded armadillo)
Lineage: Eukaryota; Metazoa; Chordata; Mammalia; Cingulata; Dasypodidae
Description: tRNA-Gly (CCC) (tRNA-Gly-CCC-4-1)
Rfam family: tRNA
About the family: Transfer RNA (tRNA) molecules are approximately 80 nucleotides in length.
Source: RNAcentral
GCAUUGGUGGUUCAGUGGCAGAAUUCUUGCUUCCCACGCAGGAGACCCGGGUUCGAUUCCUGGCCAAUGCA